Sapajus apella (tufted capuchin) is the source of this 231-nucleotide long non-coding RNA. RefSeq lists it as uncharacterized. The transcript is spliced from 3 exons. The record is from RefSeq and is a predicted model, not a curated record. Lineage: Eukaryota; Metazoa; Chordata; Mammalia; Primates; Cebidae.
GUAGAUAAAAACCAUGAAGAUGGGGAGAAACCAGUGCAAAAAGUCUGAAAAUUCUAAAAACCAGAACACCUCUUCUCCUCCAAAGGAUCACAACUCCUUGCCAGCAAGGGAAAAAAUCUGGAUGAAGAAUGAGCUUGAUGAAUUGACACAAGUAGGCUUCAGAAGGUGGGCAAUAACAAACUCCACUGAGGUAAAGAAGCAUGUUCUAAGUCAAUGCAAAGAAGGUAAAAA